Molecule: long non-coding RNA, 309 nt
Organism: Ylistrum balloti
Lineage: Eukaryota; Metazoa; Mollusca; Bivalvia; Pectinida; Pectinidae
Exons: 4
Source: RefSeq, a predicted model, not a curated record
CCGGGUAGUAGCAGCGGACUAGGGGAAAUAUACCAAUUUGAAAUCUUUUAAGAAAAUAUUAUAUAAAUGUCAUCAAUAUCUGAAAUUGAAAGAACACAACAGGUGGCAAAGUUUUGGAUGUGGCGGAUACAGUGGAUGGUGAGAGUGGCCUUGGUGAUCGUUUUCACAAUACCCCAGGCAAUAUCGUCUGUGGUUGAAGUUGGACCCUUCGGCCCCGAACUAAGCCUGACCAGCCAAAAUCAUUCUGUCCACCCAUACGGGAUUUCGACUGUUCUGUCUACAGAAAAGUAACGACCUGGCUCUUCUUUA